CCUACGGGAGGCAGCAGUGAGGAAUAUUGGUCAAUGGACGAGAGUCUGAACCAGCCAAGUAGCGUGAAGGAUGACUGCCCUAUGGGUUGUAAACUUCUUUUAUAAAGGAAUAAAACGAGGCACGUGUGCCUUUUUGCAUGUACUUUAUGAAUAAGGAUCGGCUAACUCCGUGCCAGCAGCCGCGGUAAUACGGAGGAUCCGAGCGUUAUCCGGAUUGAUUGGGUUUAAGGGGAGCGUAGAUGGGUUGUUAAGUCAGUUGUGAAAGUUUGCGGCUCAAACGUAAAAUUGCAAUUGAUACUGGCAGUCUUGAGUACAGUUGAGGUAGGCGGAAUUCGUGGUGUAGCGGUGAAAUGCUUAGAUAUCACGAAGAACCCCGAUUGCGAAGGCAGCUUACUAAACUGUGACUGACAUUGAUGCUCGAAAGUGUGGGUAUCAAACAGGAUUAGAUACCCGUGUAGUC
RNAcentral lists this ribosomal RNA (460 nucleotides) under uncultured bacterium. RNAcentral describes it as "partial 16S ribosomal RNA". It matches the Rfam family "Bacterial small subunit ribosomal RNA", at positions 338 to 795 of the family's 1533-position model. The record is from RNAcentral.